This 451-nucleotide ribosomal RNA is filed under the name Veillonella parvula. Its description in RNAcentral is "bacterial SSU rRNA". It matches the Rfam family "Bacterial small subunit ribosomal RNA", at positions 28 to 457 of the family's 1533-position model. Lineage: Bacteria; Bacillati; Bacillota; Negativicutes; Veillonellales; Veillonellaceae. The record is from RNAcentral.
GACGAACGCUGGCGGCGUGCUUAACACAUGCAAGUCGAACGAAGAGCGAUGGAAGCUUGCUUCUAUCAAUCUUAGUGGCGAACGGGUGAGUAACGCGUAAUCAACCUGCCCUUCAGAGGGGGACAACAGUUGGAAACGACUGCUAAUACCGCAUACGAUCUAAUCUCGGCAUCGAGGAUAGAUGAAAGGUGGCCUCUACAUGUAAGCUAUCACUGAAGGAGGGGAUUGCGUCUGAUUAGCUAGUUGGAGGGGUAACGGCCCACCAAGGCGAUGAUCAGUAGCCGGUCUGAGAGGAUGAACGGCCACAUUGGGAUGAGACACGGCCCAGACUCCUACGGGAGGCAGCAGUGGGGAAUCUUCCGCAAUGGACGAAAGUCUGACGGAGCAACGCCGCGUGAGUGAUGACGGCCUUCGGGUUGUAAAGCUCUGUUAAUCGGGACGAAAGGCCUUC